This is a long non-coding RNA of Monopterus albus (swamp eel), 976 nucleotides long. RefSeq lists it as uncharacterized. The record is from RefSeq and is a predicted model, not a curated record. The transcript has 4 exons. NCBI's taxonomy places the organism in Eukaryota, Metazoa, Chordata, Actinopteri, Synbranchiformes, Synbranchidae.
AAAGAAACCCAAGACUUGCUCUGACUGCUACUACUACUGCUGUGCUUCAGUAACUAGUAACCCUUGCAUACUCUGACAGCAGACAACAUGAAUAUCUGAGAUGACGUUUGGAAAUAUAUCUGACCACAUUUUCCCAGAGAUAGUUUGACAUAUCGGGUGUGAUGCAUCAGGACCAGAAUGACAGAUUUAUCACCUGUUGACACCUGUUCCAAACUUCAUUCCACUAGGUGGUGGUAAUACACCUGUUAAGCUGUUGUCAACAGCCAAUAAACACCUGAAGAAGAAGAAGUUGACGAAGAUGGAGUCAACGGCGCCUGACAGAAAUGUUUGUGACUGGGGGAAAGAUAGAGUCCAGAGGCGCAGCAACCACCAGAAGAGACAAGGUUCCUGUAGGUGUUGAGUUGAAACCCUCAGCAACAAUUAUCUGGAGGCAAAGAAAGGCCUGAUCUUCAUGGUGAUGACCACCUCGCCGCCACAUGUAGGCUCUGGCCACAGGCAUUGGCUGAGUAGCAGCGCCUUGUCACCAGCCACCUCCAUCGAGCCCUGUUUGGAGCGAACAAGGAUAGAAAAGUGUGAGAUCUGAAAAGGGUGACAUGGACAGAUUCAAGAAAACUUGCAUUAAACAGCAUCUGGGGUGACUGGUUAGCCUCAGAGUUCAGUAUAACCAUGUUUUCAGCCAAAUCAUUUCUCAGGCUCAUCUGAGUUGGGGAAAGCAAAGGUGAGCUACAGUUUAACUGUAUGCUAACUGCAUAAGAAUAUACAUCUGCCCUGAUGGUCAUCCUGUUCAGCUAGCUGUAAUAGCUGCCCUUAGAACUUGUACUUGCUGUUGACUCAGCGAUGAGCGUGACAAAUGAUCUGACUGAAAACAUGGUUAUUCCGAGUUUUCUCUGAGGUGGUGUUGGAAAAGUUAGCACUGGCUGUAGAGUCACUGUAAACUGCUCAAAAUAAACUUGCCUAUUCAUGCUUCCUGUUCUUU